This 324-nucleotide unclassified non-coding RNA is filed under the name Celeribacter halophilus. RNAcentral's name for it is "Long range pseudoknot". Lineage: Bacteria; Pseudomonadati; Pseudomonadota; Alphaproteobacteria; Rhodobacterales; Roseobacteraceae. The record is from RNAcentral.
ACCGAUGUGCAUGACUACCAGGUCAAGAUGCGCAACGUGGUCAAGUUCCUUGAGAAUGGUGACAAGGUCAAAGUGACCCUGCGGUUCCGCGGUCGUGAAAUGGCGCACCAGGAUCUGGGUCGCCAGCUUUUGGAACGUGUCGCUGAAGACACGAAAGAACUCGGCAAGAUUGAAAACAUGCCGAAAAUGGAAGGCCGUCAGAUGAUUAUGAUGAUCGGCCCGCUUCCUGCCAAAGGCUGAUACGUCAGGCUGUUCAAGGUUCAAACCCCGGCGCUUUGCCGGGGUUUUUCUUUGACGUGAGGGCGUUUUUUAUCAAAAAGCCCC